This 479-nucleotide ribosomal RNA is filed under the name uncultured bacterium. RNAcentral's name for it is "partial 16S ribosomal RNA". It matches the Rfam family "Bacterial small subunit ribosomal RNA", at positions 28 to 507 of the family's 1533-position model. The record is from RNAcentral.
GAUGAACGCUAGCGGGAGGCCUAACACAUGCGAGCCGAGCGGUAGAGUCUCUUCGGAGACUUGAGAGCGGCGCACGGGUGCGGAACACGUGUGCAACCUGCCUUUAUCUGGGGGAUAGCCUUUCGAAAGGAAGAUUAAUACCCCAUAAUAUACUGGAUGGCAUCAUCUGGUAUUGAAAACUCCGGUGGAUAGAGAUGGGCACGCGCAAGAUUAGAUAGUUGGUGAGGUAACGGCUCACCAAGUCAGCGAUCUUUAGGGGGCCUGAGAGGGUGAUCCCCCACACUGGUACUGAGACACGGACCAGACUCCUACGGGAGGCAGCAGUGAGGAAUAUUGGGCAAUGGGUGAGAGCCUGAUCCAGCCAUCCCGCGUGAAGGACGACGGCCCUAUGGGUUGUAAACUUCUUUUGUAUAGGGAUAAACCUAGAUACGUGUAUCUAGCUGAAGGUACUAUACGAAUAAGCACCGGCUAACUCCGUG